Molecule: unclassified non-coding RNA, 522 nt
Filed under: Cotesia glomerata
Lineage: Eukaryota; Metazoa; Arthropoda; Insecta; Hymenoptera; Braconidae
Description: uncharacterized LOC123269025, transcript variant X2
Source: RNAcentral
CUGUUCAAAUGAAUUUUUUUAGCAAAAUAAUUGCCGUCUCUCCAGAUAAAGAUUGCUUUAAUUUUAUAAAUUGAUUGAUUGUAACUAAAGGCUGGAUCAACUUUUGCGUUAUGUCAAACACUGGGUGCAACUGGAUUAUAUUCUAUACUAUUUAAAUCAACUGGAAGUGUACUUGGAGGUGGAGCUCUUGGAAUGCUCUACAAAAACCGUUUCAAUAAUGGUUGGUGCUCCUGCGAUCAACCGCCUUUAAUGCCAAAUGCGCCAAAUAAGUGCUGAAGGUACUUUCAUCAAAAUUGUAGAAAAUAAAAAGCGAAUAAGGAUUUUUUUCAACUUAUAUCAUACAUUUUCUCACAAAAUUCAAUGUUUAUUAAUUUGAUUUACAUUAUCAAUUUGAUGCAUUGUAUAUAUAAUAAUUUCAUUUCCUGAUUUACUAUAAAGUUAUUUAAGUGCAUAAAUGUAUAAUUCAUAGCUUAUUGUUUGUUAUUAUUGUAAUGACAUAAUUUUAUUUAAUCAUUUUCUUAA